RNAcentral lists this ribosomal RNA (444 nucleotides) under Micrococcus sp. oral taxon F54. Its description in RNAcentral is "bacterial SSU rRNA". It matches the Rfam family "Bacterial small subunit ribosomal RNA", at positions 28 to 486 of the family's 1533-position model. The record is from RNAcentral. Lineage: Bacteria; Bacillati; Actinomycetota; Actinomycetes; Micrococcales; Micrococcaceae.
GAUGAACGCUGGCGGCGUGCUUAACACAUGCAAGUCGAACGAUAAAGCCCAGCUUGCUGGGUGGAUUAGUGGCGAACGGGUGAGUAACACGUGAGUAACCUGCCCUUGACUCUGGGAUAAGCCCGGGAAACUGGGUCUAAUACCGGAUAGGAGCGCCUGUCGCAUGACGGGUGUUGGAAAGAUUUUUCGGUCAUGGAUGGACUCGCGGCCUAUCAGCUUGUUGGUGAGGUAAUGGCUCACCAAGGCGACGACGGGUAGCCGGCCUGAGAGGGUGACCGGCCACACUGGGACUGAGACACGGCCCAGACUCCUACGGGAGGCAGCAGUGGGGAAUAUUGCACAAUGGGCGGAAGCCUGAUGCAGCGACGCCGCGUGAGGGAUGACGGCCUUCGGGUUGUAAACCUCUUUCAGUAGGGAAGAAGCGAAAGUGACGUACCUGCAGAG